CUCGUGCUAUGAGAUGAGCCUGCGUCGGAUUAGCUAGUUGGUAGGGUAAUGGCCUACCAAGGCGACGAUCCGUAGCUGGUCUGAGAGGACGAUCAGCCACACUGGGACUGAGACACGGCCCAGACUCCUACGGGAGGCAGCAGUGGGGAAUAUUGGACAAUGGGGGAAACCCUGAUCCAGCAAUGCCGCGUGUGUGAAGAAGGCCUUCGGGUUGUAAAGCACUUUCAGUGGGGAAGAAAUUCUCAAGGCUAAUACCCUUUUGAGCGUUGACGUUACCCACAGAAGAAGCACUGGCUAACUCUGUGCCAGCAGCCGCGGUAAUACAGAGAGUGCAAGCGUUAAUCGGAAUCACUGGGCGUAAAGCGCGCGUAGGUGGAUAUUUAAGUCGGAUGUGAAAGCCCUAGGCUUAACCUGGGAAUUACAUCCGAUACUAGGUAUCUCGAGUAUGAUAGAGGGAAGUGGAAUUUCCGGUGUAGCGGUGAAAUGCGUAGAUAUCGGAAAGAACAUCAGUGGCGAAGGCGGCUUCCUGGAGCAAUACUGACACUGAGGCGCGAAAGCGUGGGGAGCAAACAGGAUUAGAGACCCUGGUAGUCCACGCCGUCAACGAUGAGAACUAGCUGUUGGAAAGUUUAAUUUCUAGUAGCAAAGCUAACGCGUUAAGUUCUCCGCCUGGGGAGUACGGCCGCAAGGUUAAAACUCAAAGAAAUUGACGGGGGCCCGCACAAGCGGUGGAGCAUGUGGUUUAAUUCGAUGCAACGCGAAAAACCUUACCUACCCUUGACAUCCUCGGAACUUGUCAGAAAUGACUUGGUGCCUUUGGGAACCGAGUGACAGGUGCUGCAUGGCUGUCGUCAGCUCGUGUCGUGAGAUGUUGGGUUAAGUCCCGUAACGAGCGCAACCCUCGUCCUUAGUUGCCAGCGGUUCGGCCGGGAACUCUAAGGAGACUGCCGGUGAUAAACCGGAGGAAGGUGAGGAUGAUGUCAAGUCAUCAUGGCCCUUACGGGUAGGGCUACACACGUGCUACAAUGGGCAGUACAAAGGGUUGCCAAACCGUGAGGUAAAGCUAAUCCCAAAAAGCUGCUCGUAGUCCGGAUUGGAGUCUGCAACUCGACUCCAUGAAGUUGGAAUCGCUAGUAAUCGCGAAUCAGAAUGUCGCGGUGAAUACGUUCUCGGG
RNAcentral lists this ribosomal RNA (1174 nucleotides) under Coxiella-like endosymbiont of Rhipicephalus sanguineus complex. RNAcentral describes it as "bacterial SSU rRNA". It matches the Rfam family "Bacterial small subunit ribosomal RNA", at positions 212 to 1378 of the family's 1533-position model. The record is from RNAcentral. Lineage: Bacteria; Pseudomonadati; Pseudomonadota; Gammaproteobacteria; Legionellales; Coxiellaceae.